AAGGAAUUGGCCAAAUGCUGUACGAAUUGUUAUGCUCCAAACUGUGAUUACAGGCAAAGCACAGGAGGCAUAUGCAGCUCUUCCGAUGGAGGACCGGCGAGAUUAUGAUAAGGUAAAAGUGACCAUUCUAAAGGCUUAUGAGUUAGUUCCUGAAGCAUACCGCCAGCGUUUUAGGAACUGGAGGAAAGGUGAACGCCAAACACAUUCUGAGGUGGUAAGAGAACUUGUUUCACAUUUUGAUCGUUGGUGCACUGCUUCAGAUGUGGAUAACUUUGAGAGUUUACGUGAUCUUAUUAUUUUAGAACAGUUUAAGAACAUUGUGCCUGACUAUAUUGCCACAUAUAUAAAUGAAAAGAAGCCAAAUGAUGCGGUUGAAGCUGCAGUUCUAGCAGAUGAUUACAUUUUGACUCAUAAAACUGCAUACAGAGAUGACAGAUCAGUGCGUCACUACAGUAAUUUUGCUGAAAAUAGAGUUGCAUCAAGGAAAUUUGAGCCAACUUUUUCUUCAAAAUUUGAGAGAAAUGGUCGUGGGAAACCUGACCGAGAUUUGGUAUGCAAUUAUUGUUUCAACAAUGGACAUUGGAAAAAUAAGUGUCCUGUUUUGGCCGCAAAGUUGAAAUCUAGUCAAAAGAAGUCUCAUGCUAAUGUUAGUCCUGUGUUAAUGACUGAGACUACAAAAGUCAAUAAUUUGCAAUCAGAUGCCUCUAUGGAUGAGAAUACAGUGUGCCACUUAAAAACUGAAAAUCACUUUGCACCUUUUAUUACACAGGGUUUUGUUUCUUUGACCAAGUCAGAAGAGAAAGUCCCGGUUAAGAUCUUAAGAGAUACAGGAUCUUCUGAAUCCUUUAUUCUUCAGUCUGUCUUGCCUUUUUCUGAAGUAUCAAGUGAAGGCAGGGAUGUUUUGAUCAAAGGGAUUGGUUUAAACACUCUUUCUGUUCCUCUGCACAGAGUAAAUUUGACUUCGGAGUUGGUCUGUGGAGAAGUAACCCUGGGAGUCCGUCCAUCAUUGCCGGUGGAUGGUGUCAUGGUAAUACUCGGGAAUAAUUUAGCUGGAGGUAGGGUAUGGCGAGAGGUAAUUCCACCACCUGUGGUAGUGCCCACUCCAUUAACUGAGAAAUCUGAUGCAUUAAAGCAGAAGUUCCCUGAGGUAUUUACAUCAUGUGUGGUAACGCGUUCUAAGAGUCGUGAGGCUUUUUGUGAAGAAAAAGUGUCAAAGUAUGCACUGUCUGGUUUGUCUACUCUUUCUCCUAUUUCCAAUAGGGAGUUGAUAACGGCCCAACAAAAUGAUCCUGGGUUGCAGAAGUUGUUUGAGGAUGUUAUUUCAUCAGAAGAGGUGAGAAGUGCUGUCAGUGGAUAUUUUGUCCAAGAUGAGCUACUUUUGAGGAAAUAUGUUCCUUGUAAAAAAGGUUUGAUUGGUGAGGCUAUAAUUCAAGUGGUGGUACCAAAACCGUUCCGUGAAAUGGUAAUGAAGGUUGCGCAUGGGGAAGUAGCAGGUCAUUUAGGAGUAAAGAAAACUUAUGACAGAGUUUUGCGACAAUUCUAUUGGCCAUGUUUGAAAAAGGAUAUCUCAGCCUUCAUUAAAACGUGCCAUACAUGUCAGUUAACAGGCAAACCGAAUCAAUCUUUGAAACCAGUGCCUCUAUCGCCUAUAGUUGUUACAAGUAAACCUUUUGAACAUCUAAUAAUUGACUGUGUAGGUCCAUUGCCUACUUCUAAAUCAGGCAAUGUAUAUUUGCUGACUGUAAUGUGUCAGGCAACUCGGUAUCCGGCAGCUUACCCUAUUCGAAAAAUUACAACCAAAGCAGUUGUGAAAGCUCUAACUCAGUUCAUUUCUGUGUUUGGGAUACCCAAGAUUAUUCAGAGUGACAAAGGGUCAAAUUUCACUUCACGUAUGUUUGAUGAGAUUUUGAGAGUGCUUAAGGUGAGACAUAAUCAAUCAAGCGCAUAUCACCCUCAAAGUCAAGGUGCUCUUGAACGAUUUCACCAAACCUUGAAAGCAUUGUUACGUAGUUACUGUGUGGAGUUGAACCGUGACUGGGAGGAAGGGUUACCCUGGUUAUUACUCACAGCUAGAGAAGUACAACAAGAAAGCUUGGGUUUUAGUCCAAAUGAUCUAGUUUUUGGUCACAGUGUACGAGGUCCUCUCUCUGUUUUGCGGGAAGGACUGUGUGAAGAUGAUCCUCCACAGAAUUUGUUAGAAUACGUGAAUGGUUUUCGUAGACGUUUAUUUUUGGCUGGUUUAAGUGCGCAGAAAAAUCUUGUCGGAGCGCAGAGUACAAUGAAGAAGUACUAUGAUAAGCAUGUAGAAUCUCGUGUUUUUGCACCAGGUGAUAAAGUGCUAGUUUUGUUGCCUUCAUCUGGAUCUCCUUUUUGUGCACGAUUUACUGGUCCAUAUAAAGUUCUGCGAAAAAUGACUGACCAAAACUAUCAAAUUGAAACUCCAGAUCGACGAAAAGCAAAGCAAUGUUUUCAUGUGAAUUUACUUAAGCCUUAUCAUUCUCGUCAUUCUGAAAGUCAACCAGUUAGUCCAGUUGUUACUGUUUCUAGUACCUCUCUUGAUCAUGUUCAAUCUCUUUUUGUAGAGGGAGGGGAGGAUGUGAUGGUCCCUGGAGACUGCGUUUUGCUUCCCCGGUUAAAGAAUUCAGAGACUCUUCAAAAUUUGGAUGCUUUGUUUUUGCAUUUAUCAGAUAUACAGAGGUCAGAGUUGACAAAGUUAGUGUUUGAUUUUCCUAGUCUAUUUGCAGAUGUUCCAACUCGUACGCAUCUUAUCCAGCAUGAUGUGGAUGUGGGAGAUGCCCGUCCUAUUCGACAGCGUUUCUACAGGGUUCCUAUGAGUAAGCGGAAAGUGUUGGAAUCAGAAGUUCAGUAUAUGCUGGAGAAUGAGAUCGCUGUUCCUUCCUGUUCCAGUUGGGCUUCACCAUGUUUGCUGGUGAAAAAGCCAGAUUCUACUUACAGAUUUUGUACUGACUACCGUAAAUUAAACGCUAUUACUAAACCUGAUGCGUUUCCACUUCCUCGAAUGGAGGACUGUGUAGAUCAGGUGGGGACUGCACAUUUUGUAAGUAAACUGGACCUUCUAAAAGGAUAUUGGCAAGUGCCUUUAACUCCUAGAGCUCAGGAAAUAACUUCAUUUAUUACGCCAUCUGGAUUAUAUUCGUACUCCGUGAUGAGUUUUGGCCUGCGAAAUGCACCCGCAACCUUCCAGAGAUUGAUGAAUAGAGUGGUAUUUGGUCUGGAAGGUUGUGCGGUGUAUUUAGAUGAUGUUAUUGUUUUCAGUGACACAUGGGAACAACAUUUGGUACGCCUUCGUGCACUUUUGACUCGUUUGGCAGAGGCGCAUCUUACUGUCAACUUGGCAAAGUGUGAGUUUGCCAAGGCGACCGUAAGAUAUUUGGGUAAAGAAGUUGGCCAAGGUGAGGUACGUCCUAUUCAAGCCAAAAUUGUGGCUAUUCAAAAUUUCCCUCCCCCAUCAAACAAGAAGGAGCUGAUGCGUUUUCUGGGGAUGGUGGGGUAUUAUCGAGGAUUUUGCCCAAAUUUUUCAACGGUGGUUGCCCCACUAACUGAUUUACUUAAGAAUUCCAUCAAAUUUGUUUGGAGUGUGAAUUGUCAGAAAGCUUUUGACAAUGUUAAGCUAUUGUUAACCACUGCUCCUGUUCUAGCUGCCCCUAGGCUGGAUGAACCUUUCAAAAUACAGGUAGAUGCAAGCCAGGUUGGUGCUGGGGCUGUUCUGUUACAAACAGGCGAGACUGGACUUGAACAUCCUGUAAGUUUUUUUUCUCGUAAGUUUAAUACUUACCAAAAAAACUAUUCGGUAAUCGAGAAAGAAGCCUUAUCUUUAAUUUGGGCUCUUCAGCACUUUGACGUAUAUGUGGGGGGAGGACUACCAGUGGAGGUUUAUUCUGAUCAUAACCCCUUAACAUUUUUACAUUCCCUACAGUCCCCGAGUCAGCGGUUGAUGCGCUGGAUUCUCUUUUUACAGCCUUACAGCUUAACUGUAAAACACAUUAAGGGUUCUGAUAACGUAGUGGCAGAUGCGUUAUCUCGUGUUCCUGAUCAAACUGAAUGAGUUUAAUGUUUGGCCAGUCGUAUCUGUUUUUCUGUUUCCUUUUUCUCCUUAAUUUGCUUUCAGGAUCCAGAUUGCUGGGGGUAAGGGGACAAGGAGAAUUGAGAUGGCUGUAAGAACAUACUAUUACUGGUGGAUCGGAUGCUAUAGAAAUAAAAUAAAAGGAAGUGAUUGACAGAUUGGAUGACGUAGCAUCGCACCUGCACUAAAUCAGCGCUCUUUAAAAGCGGUCCGUGUGAACUGAUGAGGGAGUGAGACGAGACUUGUGCUUGCUGGAGUGGUUUGCCCGUCAUGUGACUGCCGGUGUGUCUCGAGUGAUAUGGAGUUUGCGGGAGACCGCAGCCGCAUUCGAGGAGUUCUCGUUAUGAUCCGCCUCACCGAGAACGGCUUUUGGACAUUAAUCUUCUGUUGGUUUUGUUGACUUUAAUUGUUUACACUUGUAUCACUUACACGCACCUGCUGACACGCUGACAAUUCAUCUACACUGACUACUAUACAUUUCAUGUUUACGUUCUUUAGUUUAAUAAAUUGCUUUGCAAAUUUA
Molecule: non-coding RNA, 4607 nt
Organism: Misgurnus anguillicaudatus (oriental weatherfish)
Lineage: Eukaryota; Metazoa; Chordata; Actinopteri; Cypriniformes; Cobitidae
Source: RefSeq, a predicted model, not a curated record